GAUGAAGAACGCAGCGAAAUGCGAUAAGUAGUGUGAAUUGCAGAAUUCAGUGAAUCAUCGAAUCUUUGAACGCACAUUGCGCCCUUUGGUAUUCCAAAGGGCAUGCCUGUUCGAGCGUCAUUUGUACCCUCAAGCUUUGCUUGGUGUUGGGCGUCUUGUCUCUAGCUUUGCUGGAGACUCGCCUUAAAGUAAUUGGCAGCCGGCCUACUGGUUUCGGAGCGCAGCACAAGUCGCACUCUCUAUCAGCAAAGGUCUAGCAUCCAUUAAGCCUUUUUUUCAACUUUUGACCUCGGAUCGGGUAGGGAUACCCGCUGAACUUAAGCAUAUCAAUAAGCGGAGGA
This 341-nucleotide unclassified non-coding RNA is filed under the name soil metagenome. RNAcentral describes it as "partial contains 5.8S ribosomal RNA, internal transcribed spacer 2, and large subunit ribosomal RNA". The stretch from base 1 to 120 matches the Rfam family "5.8S ribosomal RNA", at positions 35 to 154 of the family's 154-position model. The record is from RNAcentral.